CACGUUGAAACACCGAUUCCCGUAUGAUCACCGAAGUUAAACAUCGUUGAGCUUGGUCAGUACCUGAAUGGGUGACCGCUUGAUAAUAUCAG
Molecule: non-coding RNA, 92 nt
Organism: Acanthosepion pharaonis
Lineage: Eukaryota; Metazoa; Mollusca; Cephalopoda; Sepiida; Sepiidae
Source: the annotation of a GenBank genome assembly